AGUGAACGCUGGCGGUAGGCCUAACACAUGCAAGUCGAACGGCAGCACAGUAAGAGCUUGCUCUUACGGGUGGCGAGUGGCGGACGGGUGAGGAAUACAUCGGAAUCUACUUUUUCGUGGGGGAUAACGUAGGGAAACUUACGCUAAUACCGCAUACGACCUACGGGUGAAAGCAGGGGAUCUUCGGACCUUGCGCGAUUGAAUGAGCCGAUGUCGGAUUAGCUAGUUGGCGGGGUAAAGGCCCACCAAGGCGACGGUCCGUAGCUGGCCUGAGAGGGUGAUUCGGCACCCGGUAUGUGAGACUCGGCCCAGACUCUUACGGUAGGCAGCAGUGGGGAAUAUUGGACAAUGGGCGCAUGCCUGAUACAGCCAUACCGCGGGGGUGAAGAAGGCCUUCGGGUGGUAAAGCCCUUUUGUUGGGGAAGAAGAGCAGCAGGUUUAUACCCCGCUGUUCUGACGGUACCCAAAGAAUAAGCACCGGCUAACUUCGUG
RNAcentral lists this ribosomal RNA (492 nucleotides) under uncultured bacterium. RNAcentral describes it as "partial 16S ribosomal RNA". It matches the Rfam family "Bacterial small subunit ribosomal RNA", at positions 29 to 507 of the family's 1533-position model. The record is from RNAcentral.